UACGUAGGGUGCGAGCGUUAAUCGGAAUUACUGGGCGUAAAGUGUGCGCAGGCGGCCGCGCAAGUCGAGUGUGAAAUCCCCGAGCUUAACUUGGGAAUUGCGCUCGAAACUACGUGGCUGGAGUGUGGCAGAGGAAGGUGGAAUUCCACGUGUAGCGGUGAAAUGCGUAGAUAUGUGGAGGAACACCGAUGGCGAAGGCAGCCUUCUGGGCCGAUACUGACGCUGAGGAGCGAAAGCGUGGGGAGCGAACAGG
Molecule: ribosomal RNA, 253 nt
Filed under: uncultured bacterium
Lineage: Bacteria
Description: partial 16S ribosomal RNA
Rfam family: Bacterial small subunit ribosomal RNA
Source: RNAcentral